This 230-nucleotide ribosomal RNA is filed under the name uncultured bacterium. RNAcentral's name for it is "partial 16S ribosomal RNA". It matches the Rfam family "Bacterial small subunit ribosomal RNA", at positions 562 to 791 of the family's 1533-position model. The record is from RNAcentral.
AAAGGGUGCGUAGGCGGAUUCUUAAGUCAGGGGUGUAAUCCCGAGGCUCAACCUCGGAACUGCCUUUGAUACUGGGGAUCUUGAGUCCGGAAGAGGUGAGUGGAACUGCGAGUGUAGAGGUGAAAUUCGUAGAUAUUCGCAAGAACACCGGUGGCGAAGGCGGCUCACUGGUCCGGAACUGACGCUGAGGCACGACAGCGUGGGGAGCAAACAGGAUUAGAUACCCUAGU